RNAcentral lists this ribosomal RNA (253 nucleotides) under uncultured bacterium. RNAcentral describes it as "partial 16S ribosomal RNA". It matches the Rfam family "Bacterial small subunit ribosomal RNA", at positions 524 to 776 of the family's 1533-position model. The record is from RNAcentral.
UACGAAGGGGGCUAGCGUUGCUCGGAAUCACUGGGCGUAAAGGGCGCGUAGGCGGCCUGAUAAGUCGGGGGUGAAAGCCUGUGGCUCAACCACAGAAUUGCCUUCGAUACUGUUAGGCUUGAGACCGGAAGAGGUAAGUGGAACUGCGAGUGUAGAGGUGAAAUUCGUAGAUAUUCGCAAGAACACCAGUGGCGAAGGCGGCUUACUGGUCCGGAUCUGACGCUGAGGCGCGAAAGCAUGGGGAGCAAACAGG